AGAGUUUGAUCCUGUCUCAGAACGAACGCUGGCGGCAUGCCUAACACAUGCAAGUCGAACGAACCCUUCGGGGUUAGUGGCGCACGGGUGCGUAACGCGUGGGAAUCUGCCCUUGGGUUCGGAAUAACAGUUAGAAAUGACUGCUAAUACCGGAUGAAGUCUUCGGACCAAAGAUUUAUCGCCCAGGGACGAGCCCGCGUAGGAUUAGGUGGUUGGUGGGGUAAAGGCCUACCAAGCCGACGAUCCUUAGCUGGUCUGAGAGGAUGAUCAGCCACACUGGGACUGAGACACGGCCCAGACUCCUACGGGAGGCAGCAGUGGGGAAUAUUGGACAAUGGGGGAAACCCUGAUCCAGCAAUGCCGCGUGAGUGAUGAAGGCCUUCGGGUCGUAAAGCUCUUUUACCAGGGGUGAUAAUGACAGUACCUGGAGAAUAAGCUCCGGCUAACUCCGUGCCAGCAGCCGCGGUAAUACGGAGGGAGCUAGCGUUGUUCGGAAUUACUGGGCGUAAAGCGCACGUAGGCGGUUACUCAAGUCAGAGGUGAAAGCCCGGGGCUCAACCCCGGAACUGCCUUUGAAACUAGGUGACUUGAAUCUUGGAGAGGCGAGUGGAAUUCCGAGUGUAGAGGUGAAAUUCGUAGAUAUUCGGAAGAACACCAGUGGCGAAGGCGACUCGCUGGACAAGUAUUGACGCU
RNAcentral lists this ribosomal RNA (693 nucleotides) under uncultured bacterium. RNAcentral describes it as "bacterial SSU rRNA". It matches the Rfam family "Bacterial small subunit ribosomal RNA", at positions 8 to 747 of the family's 1533-position model. The record is from RNAcentral.